This 134-nucleotide non-coding RNA is filed under the name Brachypodium distachyon (stiff brome). Its description in RNAcentral is "Bacterial small subunit ribosomal RNA". It matches the Rfam family "Bacterial small subunit ribosomal RNA", at positions 1388 to 1520 of the family's 1533-position model. Lineage: Eukaryota; Viridiplantae; Streptophyta; Magnoliopsida; Poales; Poaceae. The record is from Rfam by way of RNAcentral.
CACCGCCCGUCACACUAUAGGAGCUGGCCAUGUUUGAAGUCAUUACCCUUAACCGUAACGAGGGGGAUGCCUAAGGCUAGGCUUACGACUGGAGUGAAGUCGUAACAAGGUAGCCGUACUGGAAGGUGCGGCUG